RNAcentral lists this ribosomal RNA (286 nucleotides) under Citrobacter sp. July_TSA1B4. Its description in RNAcentral is "partial 16S ribosomal RNA". It matches the Rfam family "Bacterial small subunit ribosomal RNA", at positions 1086 to 1372 of the family's 1533-position model. Lineage: Bacteria; Pseudomonadati; Pseudomonadota; Gammaproteobacteria; Enterobacterales; Enterobacteriaceae. The record is from RNAcentral.
CCCGCAACGAGCGCAACCCUUAUCCUUUGUUGCCAGCGGUCCGGCCGGGAACUCAAAGGAGACUGCCAGUGAUAAACUGGAGGAAGGUGGGGAUGACGUCAAGUCAUCAUGGCCCUUACGACCAGGGCUACACACGUGCUACAAUGGCGCAUACAAAGAGAAGCGACCUCGCGAGAGUAAGCGGACCUCAUAAAGUGCGUCGUAGUCCGGAUUGGAGUCUGCAACUCGACUCCAUGAAGUCGGAAUCGCUAGUAAUCGUGGAUCAGAAUGCCACGGUGAAUACGUU